Molecule: non-coding RNA, 154 nt
Organism: Prunus avium (sweet cherry)
Lineage: Eukaryota; Viridiplantae; Streptophyta; Magnoliopsida; Rosales; Rosaceae
Source: RefSeq, a predicted model, not a curated record
GAUUAAUGGAAGUGUGUGCACGAUCAGCUGGGAAGAUUACUAAGGUAGAGGGUUACUGCGAAUCCGGGUUAGAUCUAUGGGUCGAUUUAAAGAUAGAUAGCAAUCCAGAAAAUGAUUUAGAUCAUAGUGACUUGCCUCAACCCACUGCGUCCCC